RNAcentral lists this ribosomal RNA (253 nucleotides) under uncultured bacterium. RNAcentral's name for it is "partial 16S ribosomal RNA". It matches the Rfam family "Bacterial small subunit ribosomal RNA", at positions 524 to 776 of the family's 1533-position model. The record is from RNAcentral.
UACGGAGGGUGCAAGCGUUAAUCGGAAUUACUGGGCGUAAAGCGCACGCAGGCGGUUGAUUGAGUCAGAUGUGAAAUCCCCGGGCUUAACCCGGGAAUUGCAUCUGAUACUGGUCAGCUAGAGUCUUGUAGAGGGGGGUAGAAUUCCAUGUGUAGCGGUGAAAUGCGUAGAGAUCUGGAGGAAUACCGGUGGCGAAGGCGGCCCCCUGGACGAAGACUGACGCUCAGGUGCGAAAGCGUGGGGAGCAAACAGG